UUCAUUUUCUUCCUUUUACACUUGCUGCAUUUAUACCAAGCUCGACUGGUAAACUUAACUAGGUAAAUAACAAGUCUAACUUCCCUUAGAAAAUGUACACUGAAAUCAAAUCUAAACCCUCAUUUUAAAUGUUGAAAUCGAAUACUUGGAUUUCGUCGGAUUUGAACCUAAAUACAAAUCAAAACUCAAAAAGGUUCAACAAAUUUUCUAAGUGCCUUCGUUUACCAAGGCGCCAGUUUGAGGCACUGGUUCGAAAGGGCAUGGGUUCGAAUUUCAUUGUUGACAUCACAUUAAAUUAGCUUUUGCAUAAUUACAAUUAGCAUAGCAAAAACUGGAAAAACGACAGCACGAUAUUGACGAGAUCUGUCAAAUUCUGAUAUUCAAACACCAAAUUCAGAGUAAUUAAUAUUUAACAUUAAAAUUUUUCAUUUUUAUGAUUUUGAUCAUCAACUGUGAAUUCCACUUGCUUUAUCAGACCCACAAAUCAAUCCUUCUCUUCUCAGCUUCUCUUCCUUAGAUUUUCUGCAAAAAAUAACCCAAGAAUUCACCUCCAAAGCUAUGCAAGUUCCCACCAACGUAGACAAACACAAGCAAUAUCCCAGCUUAGCAUAUGACCUGCUCUCUCCCAUUACUUCAAAUCCUUGAAAAACAUUCACAACUCCUAGCACCACACAAGCGUAUCCCACAAAAUGGUGGUAAGAUUUCCAGUAUUUCCUGUAUUUGUUUAUAGUCUCCACAGGAAGCUUGGAUUCGCAGUGUUCUGCUUGGGGGCUCUGCAAACGCUGGCUCUGCUGUUUAG
This 799-nucleotide unclassified non-coding RNA is filed under the name Hevea brasiliensis (rubber tree). The record is from RNAcentral. Lineage: Eukaryota; Viridiplantae; Streptophyta; Magnoliopsida; Malpighiales; Euphorbiaceae.